UACUUUCAGGGAUCAUUUCUAUAG
Molecule: microRNA, 24 nt
Filed under: Python bivittatus (Burmese python)
Lineage: Eukaryota; Metazoa; Chordata; Lepidosauria; Squamata; Pythonidae
Description: pbv-miR-9651-5p
Source: miRBase by way of RNAcentral